AUAGAGAUAGCUCAGCAGUUAAGAGAACUAGCUGCUCUUCCAGAGAACCUGGGUUCAAUUCCCAGUACCUAUA
RNAcentral lists this transfer RNA (73 nucleotides) under Neotoma lepida (desert woodrat). It matches the Rfam family "tRNA". From Rfam's summary of the family: Transfer RNA (tRNA) molecules are approximately 80 nucleotides in length. Their secondary structure includes four short double-helical elements and three loops (D, anti-codon, and T loops). Further hydrogen bonds mediate the characteristic L-shaped molecular structure. tRNAs have two regions of fundamental functional importance: the anti-codon, which is responsible for specific mRNA codon recognition, and the 3' end, to which the tRNAs corresponding amino acid is attached (by aminoacyl-tRNA synthetases). tRNAs cope with the degeneracy of the genetic code in two manners: having more than one tRNA (with a specific anti-codon) for a particular amino acid; and 'wobble' base-pairing, i.e. permitting non-standard base-pairing at the 3rd anti-codon position. The record is from Rfam by way of RNAcentral. Lineage: Eukaryota; Metazoa; Chordata; Mammalia; Rodentia; Cricetidae.